UUCUCCCUACGGGGGGCAGCAGUGGGGGAUAUUGCACAAUGGGGGAAACCCUGAUGCAGCGACGCCGCGUGGGCGAAGAAGUAUUUCGGUAUGUAAAGCCCUAUCAGCAGGGAAGAAGAAAUGACGGUACCUGAGUAAGAAGCACCGGCUAAAUACGUGCCAGCAGCCGCGGUAAUACGUAUGGUGCAAGCGUUAUCCGGAUUUACUGGGUGUAAAGGGAGCGCAGGCGGCACGGCAAGCCUGAUGUGAAAGCCCGGGGCUCAACCCCGGGACUGCAUUUGAAACUGUCAGGCUGGAGUGCAGGG
Molecule: ribosomal RNA, 305 nt
Filed under: uncultured bacterium
Lineage: Bacteria
Description: bacterial SSU rRNA
Rfam family: Bacterial small subunit ribosomal RNA
Source: RNAcentral